Molecule: ribosomal RNA, 363 nt
Filed under: uncultured bacterium
Lineage: Bacteria
Description: partial 16S ribosomal RNA
Rfam family: Bacterial small subunit ribosomal RNA
Source: RNAcentral
CCUACGGGAGGCAGCAGUGAGGAAUAUUGGUCAAUGGCCGGAAGGCUGAACCAGCCAAGUCGCGUGAGGGACGACUUCCCUAUGUGUUGUAAACCUCUUUUAUAAGGGAAGAAUAAAUGCUACGUGUAGCAUGAUGCCUGUACCUUAUGAAUCAGCCUCGGCUAACUCCGUGCCAGCAGCCGCGGUAAUACGGAGGGUGAGAGCGUUAUCCGGAUUUAUUGGGGUUAACGGGUGCGUAGGCGGUUUUUUAAGUUAGUGGUUAAACGUAGGGGCUUCACCUUGAUUUGCCAUUGAUACUGUAAGACUCGAGUUCAGACGAGGUAGGCGGAAUAAGUAAAGUAGCGGUGAAAUGCUUAGAUAUAA